Small nuclear RNA from Cavia aperea (Brazilian guinea pig), 154 nucleotides. Its record names the gene U2. It matches the Rfam family "U2 spliceosomal RNA". Rfam says of the family: U2 is a small nuclear RNA (snRNA) component of the spliceosome (involved in pre-mRNA splicing). Complementary binding between U2 snRNA (in an area lying towards the 5' end but 3' to hairpin I) and the branchpoint sequence (BPS) of the intron results the bulging out of an unpaired adenosine, on the BPS, which initiates a nucleophilic attack at the intronic 5' splice site, thus starting the first of two transesterification reactions that mediate splicing. NCBI's taxonomy places the organism in Eukaryota, Metazoa, Chordata, Mammalia, Rodentia, Caviidae. The record is from Ensembl.
AUCGCUUCUCGGCCUUUUGGCUAAGAUCAAGUGUAGUAUCUGUUCUUAUCAGUACAGUGUUUUUAAAAAGAAAAAGCCUUGACUCUACUCAACAUCCACAGGGGCCAUUACUAUGUAUGACACCAGGCACACCUGUAACUUCAUGUGACAAACU